RNAcentral lists this ribosomal RNA (274 nucleotides) under uncultured bacterium. RNAcentral's name for it is "partial 16S ribosomal RNA". It matches the Rfam family "Bacterial small subunit ribosomal RNA", at positions 523 to 796 of the family's 1533-position model. The record is from RNAcentral.
AUACGGAGGAUCCAAGCGUUAUCCGGAUUUAUAGGGUUUAAAGGGUGCGCAGGCGGCCUUAUAAGUCAGUGGUGAAAUCUCCCGGCUCAACCGGGAAACUGCCAUUGAUACUGUAAGGCUAGAAUACAGACGAGGUAGGCGGAAUGUAGCAUGUAGCGGUGAAAUGCUUAGAUAUGCUACAGGACACCGAUCGCGAAGGCAGCUUACCAGACUGUAAUUGACGCUAAGGCACGAAAGCGUGGGGAGCGAACAGGAUUAGAUACCCCAGUAGUCC